This is an RNA transcript of Populus nigra (black poplar), 1932 nucleotides long. RefSeq lists it as uncharacterized. The record is from RefSeq and is a predicted model, not a curated record. The transcript has 3 exons. NCBI's taxonomy places the organism in Eukaryota, Viridiplantae, Streptophyta, Magnoliopsida, Malpighiales, Salicaceae.
CUUUAACCCCAAACCUCCAAAGGCCCUAAACCCUAGCCCGCCCUCUUCCCCCUCAAAUUAGACUCUCCUCCCUCUAAGCCCCGCCAGAAAAUCCUCUAUUCACCGCCAAAAAAACCCCCAUCUAGCAACAAUACAUCACCUAAUACCUCUAACCACACUCUGAAUGCAUGGUUAAGCCGUGUCGUAUCACUUCGAAUGCAUGAUUAAGCCGUGCCGUAUCGGAUUCUUAACAGGAACCUGCCCCCCUAGUUUCUCGAAUUUCUCUACAGAUGAAGACGAAUUCGAAGAAACCGAUGGCAGCGCAGUUUAUGGACACACUCUCUUAAGCCAGCGGCCUUCUACCGUAGAAUGGACACCGAAUUUGGGCGUCUACCGUACACCGAAUUUGGUUAGUUUUAUCAGUACCGUGGAUCGGUACCCGAUAAUUCUCAGAAAUAUGGGCGGUGACUUUGUCUGCUCUAUGCAAGAAAUCCACAUGAUUCAAAUCGCUGGUUCAGGAUUCAAGUGGAAACGUGGGACGGUAUGGCGAAAUUGUGCUUUGAACAUCUAAAGCCAAAUGAUCACAUAUAUGUCUCGGGCCAUUUGGAGUCUUACUUCAAGGUUUCUAGCAAUGGAAAUCCAAAGUCCAGUUAUAAGGUUCCCCAUUUGAAUUAUAAUAGUUUGCUUGGAUAUGUCAUUUAAAUUUUCGAAAACUGCGUGGAAUUAUUAAUGAUUUACGCUUUCUUAUAGAAAUAGAGGCUAGAGGCAGCUAGUUAUUAAUGAUUUACCAUGAUUUUUUUUUUUAAUGAUGAUUAUCAUUGCUGGAAGAUUGAUAUGUUUCUGAUUGCUUCUCAAAGAAUUAGUUUGAGAUACUCUGUGCUCUCUUGUUCGCUAAUACUGAAUUGAUUUUAUUAGCCAUUAUUUGAAACGUUUGUAUGUUUCUGAACCAUACCAAUGGGUUUUCUAUUCUGAACACAUUGAUAAGUCCACAUAGACACAAGCAAACACGGUCACACACGUGUGCACUUGCUCACUCAUUCCUACAUGUGUGCGUGUAGAAUGAUUUAGUUUGUUUCUAUAGAUAAUUGCGAAUGGAUUGCAUUGCAUUGCACAACAUGAUCAUCGGCCAGGCUGCCAAAGCCCUGAGUGGUCAAAGUUUGAAACCUGCCAAAAUCAGGAGGAAUCAGAGUUGGAAGCCUGUUGAAACCCUCCCUGAGGAAUCAGAGUUGAAGCCUGUCGAAACCCUCCCUGAGGAAUCAGAUUCAGGGACCUGCCAAAAAUUUAAGGAACCAGAAUCAGGUGCCUGCCAAAAAUCCAUGGAGCCACAUUCAGGAGGUUAUGAAUGGCUCAUGGUUCAAUUAACAUAAGAGAUGGUUUAGGUGGGUUGUUUCUCAAUAUAGGACUUCCAAAUCUUUGGCAUGUUCAGGUGGCUGUCGCUUAAAAUCUUGGAAUCUAUUAUUAGCUCAUCAUAAAGUUGCUAGAUAUGACUGCCUGGGUGUGUGGGGAUCAAGAAUGCUGUUUACUGGCAGGCAAAGAAAGUCAUACUGUUUGAUUGGGCCAUGGUUUUUUAUAUGAUUGAUAGCAGUGAUUGAUUUAGCAUUGGUUUAUUGUUUUUUUAUAUUUUGUUCACUACUCCCAUGCUUAUUUCUUUAAAUUUCUUUAUAACAAAUUCAGCUGAAAUUGGCAUGGGAAAGGACAAAACCCACCUUUGCUUAUGGAAAGCGCUUUUCAGCAGUCUGCUUGGGUGGUGGGAUAACAAGAAAAAUCGGAGUUACACGACUUUAAGCACAAGAUUAGUGGUUAUGCUCUUUGGUUGAGUCCAAAUGAACCACCAUGGAUCAAAAGAAAAGUUCAAUUGCUUGAUUGGAAAACAAGGAAUGGAGUGUUUGUAAUACUGUAUGACUGUCUUAGAAAUCAAUGUAUUUCGAGCAUGUAGAAUGAAGUUCGUUGAAA